CGGGGCGUAGCGCAGUCUGGCUAGCGCGCCUGGUUUGGGACCAGGAGGUCGAGAGUUCGAAUCUCUCCGCCCCGA
Molecule: transfer RNA, 75 nt
Filed under: Planctomycetaceae bacterium
Lineage: Bacteria; Pseudomonadati; Planctomycetota; Planctomycetia; Planctomycetales; Planctomycetaceae
Also listed under: 2 other names
Description: tRNA-Pro
Rfam family: tRNA
About the family: Transfer RNA (tRNA) molecules are approximately 80 nucleotides in length.
Source: RNAcentral